RNAcentral lists this ribosomal RNA (258 nucleotides) under Legionella pneumophila. Its description in RNAcentral is "partial 23S ribosomal RNA". It matches the Rfam family "Bacterial large subunit ribosomal RNA", at positions 1 to 254 of the family's 2925-position model. The record is from RNAcentral. Lineage: Bacteria; Pseudomonadati; Pseudomonadota; Gammaproteobacteria; Legionellales; Legionellaceae.
UUAUAUGGUCAAGAAGAGAAGCGCAAACGGUGGAUGCCUUGGCAGUAAGAGGCGAAGAAGGACGUGGAAUCCUGCGAAAAGCUAUGGGGAGCUGGAAACGAGCGUUGAGCCAUAGAUGUCCGAAUGGGGGAACCCGGCUGCAGCGAUGCGGUCAUUUGCAUUUGAAUACAUAGGAUGCAAAGGCGAACUCGGGGAACUGAAACAUCUAAGUACCCGAAGGAAAAGAAAUCAAGAGAGAUUCUCCAAGUAGCGGCGAGC